This 961-nucleotide long non-coding RNA is filed under the name Mus musculus (house mouse). RNAcentral describes it as "long non-coding RNA chr5:141297142-141298103". Lineage: Eukaryota; Metazoa; Chordata; Mammalia; Rodentia; Muridae. The record is from RNAcentral.
UUAAAACUACAUUAUGGUCUCAGAAUAGAUGGAUAUUGUGUCCUCAUUUGCUGUUGCUGGACAUAAUGGCAUGCUAGAAGCACGUUGCAGUCAGAUGGGCCUGUUCCUGCCUGGGGUAUAAUUUUAUCUGGCACAUGCGUGUUGCAGAAGUGUGCUUGGUAAUAUAGUUCAGUGAGAGAGAACAUAAACUCUCAGCCAUCCCAGAUAUGGAAACUGAUGAGCGCUGAGCCUUUGUGUCUAAUGACAUGAUAACCAUGAGCCAUUCCCUUGUAUGGUAAUGUCAGAUUUGCUUUGUUGCAGGGCCUGCACAUGCACAGAUGAACCUCACUACAUAAGGUGGUGCUCUGGGGGACUUCUCCAUGGAAAAGUUUGAAGUUGUACUCCUUUCACAAUGACUCUUGUGCUUUAUUACAGAGUUAAAAAUAAACCUAUUUUUAAAAGUCGGAAGCCUUCAAGUGUUGCUGCAGAAGCCGAAGGCUCUUUGGAACAUGUGAACACUACAGCACAGUAGUGCAUGGAAAGAAUGCUGUUAGGAGCUGUUUUUUGUUUUUUUGUUUUGUUUUGUUUUUUGAGUUGGAGGAUUUUAUUUUCAGAUGAUUUAUUGGUUUACAGUGUGGAUGUUUUUGCAGAUAUAAUGGUCUGUGUUCUGUAAGAUCUGACUUGUUUCAUAGUAGCUAUUCAGUGAUUAAAUAUGUUAACAUCAAAAGAACACAUUGCAGAAAGGUACUGGGACAUAACAUUUGUUAAAUGAGAUUACAAAGAGAUGGAGCCAACCUCCUAAUUUAAUAUAAACAUACCAUGUAAAUAGCCCGAAGUAGCUGCGACUUUUCAAGAAAUCAUGCUAUUCUGAGAAAUAGUUAAUAAAAUCCUGACUCGAUGUUGUGAAAUACUUUAAGAUAUUAUUCUCAUAUAUUUGUACCAUGAGGCUUUUUAAAACAACAAAAUAAAGCAACCGUCAAUC